Molecule: ribosomal RNA, 269 nt
Filed under: uncultured prokaryote
Description: partial 16S ribosomal RNA
Rfam family: Bacterial small subunit ribosomal RNA
Source: RNAcentral
UACGUAGGGUGCGAGCGUUAUCCGGAAUUACUGGGCGUAAAGAGCUCGUAGGCGGUUAGGUAAGUCGCAUGUUAAAUACCCGGGCUCAACUCGGGGAAUGCGUGCGAUACUGCCUGACUAGAGGACGGGAGAGGGAAGUGGAAUUCCUGGUGUAGCGGUGAAAUGCAUAGAUAUCAGGAAGAAUACCAGUGGCGAAGGCGGCUUCCUGGACCGUUUCUGACGCUGAGGAGCGAAAGCUAGGGGAGCGAACGGGAUUAGAUACCCCCGUA